Molecule: long non-coding RNA, 1136 nt
Organism: Alexandromys fortis (reed vole)
Lineage: Eukaryota; Metazoa; Chordata; Mammalia; Rodentia; Cricetidae
Exons: 5
Source: RefSeq, a predicted model, not a curated record
AGGCUCAUUGACUUUAAUUUAAUGGAUCAGCUACGCAGCAGCCUAUAGUCUGAAGCUCAGUGAGGAAGGAUGGAGAGUUCAUUCCUUUCAGUCGGCUGCCCGGACGAAGCAUGGCUUUCCUUGAAAUACUCAUUGUGUGAUUGGCGGGCUGGCCUUGCCCGUACUUUCUGCUUUGAGAUGACCUUUGCGCAUGUGCACUGACAGAAAAGGAGUGUGGCUAAAGUAAGCUUAGAGGAAAAAAGUUCCUUAGCCUGUAAUGUUGAUUUGUAAUUCCUGUCGUUCCUCUUGGAAAUUGUUGACAUUCCCAUGUGCAAAUUCCCUUAUCCAAGAGGAAACCUUGACAUUUCAGAAGAGAAGUGUGUUUUUAACCAGAGGGACGUUUAAAACACUGUCAGUGGGCAUUGAGAAUCUUCUUUGAAUCGACGGACAUAGCCUGUGUGGAGAACGUUUUGCUCCGAUGUGAGAGAAUCCUGCGGCUCCCUCUCUGCUCUGCCAUCGCUCCAUCCUCAGAGGGCUCUUCAUUCAGUUCCAAGAAGUACUGUCCAGGAAGAAUUUCUGGAGUGAACAAGUCCAACACCUGCAUCAUCCCUUAUGUGUGGACCCCUGUGCCUGUUUACGGCCUGGCUUUUACCACCUGGAGGCCAUUCCACCACAAACAUGUAAAGAAGCAUCAAGAAGGGGAAGCAUUGAGCAUGCAGCUUGGAUGUCUCAAGACAUGAAGUGCCACAAGGUGGGAUGAGAAGAGGAAUACAGAGGUCAGCAAGAGGCCACACCCUCUGCAGUGUGCAGAUAUGGGAAAACUGUCAAGAGAACUGUUUUCAUAUAUUGACACUUUACUACUGUUGUGCUUCUCAGAAAGAGUUACCAUUCACUUUCAAUUUAUCCCAACUCGGAAUAAAAGGCCAUAAGUAAGACCUCAUUGUUAUUAUUGGGUUUGCUGAGGUAGGUGUUGUCUUGUUGGAGGAAGUGUGUCACUGUGGGGGUGGGCUUUGAGGUCUCUUUUGCUCAAGCUUUGCUCAGUGUUAUAGACAGUCUACUUCCUGUUGCCUUCUGAUCAAGAUGUAGUCAGCACCAUGUUUGCCUGCAUACUGGCAUGCACCCCAACAUGAUGAUAAUGGACUGAACCUCCAAACUGU